GGGACUGUGGCUCAGUGGUACAACAUCUGCUUUGAAUGAAAAAGGUUGCGGGUUCAAUCCCUGGCGCCUCCU
Non-coding RNA from Podarcis lilfordi (Lilford's wall lizard), 72 nucleotides. NCBI's taxonomy places the organism in Eukaryota, Metazoa, Chordata, Lepidosauria, Squamata, Lacertidae. The record is from the annotation of a GenBank genome assembly.